Molecule: long non-coding RNA, 299 nt
Organism: Centruroides sculpturatus (bark scorpion)
Lineage: Eukaryota; Metazoa; Arthropoda; Arachnida; Scorpiones; Buthidae
Exons: 3
Source: RefSeq, a predicted model, not a curated record
ACGCUAUUUCCAAACGAGAAAGUUGUCUGUAUGAACUUAUUUGGAUGUAAGUUUAUUGUUUUCUUACAUCCAGAAUCUGCAAAGGAAGUGUUAAGAAGCAACAGUUUAAUCAAUAAGGAUUUUACGUAUGAUUUCUUAAAGCCAUUUCUCGGAGAUAACAGUCUUCUGUACAGUUCUGGCGAUAAUUGGAGAAGAAGAAGAAAAUAUUUAGCUCCACAUUUUAAUCUUUGGAAUGUGAAAAAUGAUCAAAAUGUAUUUAUGGAGCAUUCAAACGUCUUAGUGGAGAAACUCAAACAAUU